GAUAGCUCAGCCGGUAGAGCGACGGACUGUUAAUCCGCAGGUCGCUGGUUCGAACCCAGCU
This 61-nucleotide transfer RNA is filed under the name Sutterella wadsworthensis. It matches the Rfam family "tRNA", at positions 7 to 64 of the family's 71-position model. Rfam says of the family: Transfer RNA (tRNA) molecules are approximately 80 nucleotides in length. Their secondary structure includes four short double-helical elements and three loops (D, anti-codon, and T loops). RNAcentral also lists the same sequence under 2 other names. The record is from RNAcentral. Lineage: Bacteria; Pseudomonadati; Pseudomonadota; Betaproteobacteria; Burkholderiales; Sutterellaceae.